UACGUAGGGUGCAAGCGUUAAUCGGAAUUACUGGGCGUAAAGCGUGCGCAGGCGGUUUUGUAAGUCAGAUGUGAAAUCCCCGGGCUUAACCUGGGAACUGCGUUUGAAACUACAAGGCUAGAGUGUGACAGAGGGGGUGGAAUUCCACGUGUAGCAGUGAAAUGCGUAGAGAUGUGGAGGAACACCGAUGGCGAAGGCAGCCCCUGGGUUAACACUGACGCUCAGGCACGAAAGCGUGGGGAGCAAACAGG
RNAcentral lists this ribosomal RNA (251 nucleotides) under uncultured bacterium. RNAcentral describes it as "partial 16S ribosomal RNA". It matches the Rfam family "Bacterial small subunit ribosomal RNA", at positions 524 to 776 of the family's 1533-position model. The record is from RNAcentral.